This 98-nucleotide ribosomal RNA is filed under the name uncultured bacterium. RNAcentral's name for it is "partial 16S ribosomal RNA". It matches the Rfam family "Bacterial small subunit ribosomal RNA", at positions 1384 to 1482 of the family's 1533-position model. The record is from RNAcentral.
UACACACCGCCCGUCACACCAUGGGAGUUGGCUUUACCCGAAGGUGCUGCGCUAACCGCAAGAGGCAGGCAACCACGGUAGGGUCAGCGACUGGGGUG